GCGAACGGGUGAGUAACACGUGGGUGACCUGCCCCCAACUCUGGGAUAAGCCCGGGAAACUGGGUCUAAUACCGGAUAUGACUACAUGUCGCAUGGUGUGUGGUGGAAAGUUUUUCGGUUGGGGAUGGGCCCGCGGCCUAUCAGCUUGUUGGUGGGGUGAUGGCCUACCAAGGCGACGACGGGUAGCCGGCCUGAGAGGGCGACCGGCCACACUGGGACUGAGACACGGCCCAGACUCCUACGGGAGGCAGCAGUGGGGAAUAUUGCGCAAUGGGCGGAAGCCUGACGCAGCGACGCCGCGUGGGGGAUGACGGCCUUCGGGUUGUAAACCUCUUUCGACCGGGACGAAGCGCAAGUGACGGUACCGGUAUAAGAAGCACCGGCCAACUACGUGCCAGCAGCCGCGGUAAUACGUAGGGUGCGAGCGUUGUCCGGAAUUAUUGGGCGUAAAGAGCUCGUAGGCGGUCUGUCGCGUCGGUCGUGAAAACUUGGGGCUUAACCCUGAGCUUGCGGUCGAUACGGGCAUGACUGGAGUUCGGCAGGGGAGACUGGAAUUCCUGGUGUAGCGGUGAAAUGCGCAGAUAUCAGGAGGAACACCGGUGGCGAAGGCGGGUCUCUGGGCCGAUACUGACGCUGAGGAG
This 641-nucleotide ribosomal RNA is filed under the name Pseudonocardia sp. I12A-02584. Its description in RNAcentral is "bacterial SSU rRNA". It matches the Rfam family "Bacterial small subunit ribosomal RNA", at positions 98 to 753 of the family's 1533-position model. The record is from RNAcentral. Lineage: Bacteria; Bacillati; Actinomycetota; Actinomycetes; Pseudonocardiales; Pseudonocardiaceae.